AGACAUUAAUUUUUUGUUGAAACUUUUUUUUUCUCUUUGAAAAAUCAGUACGUGUGAUAAUUGUAUUUCACUUAACAAGUUUCGAAUAAGGAAAAGCUACCCCCGCAACUAACAUGAAGCCUAACUUCUGGAACCUAUGACUUUAACAUGUUCGGUGAUAGAAGACUAUAAAAUGUAUCUUUGAAGGCAUAUUUCAUCAAUUAAAUGGCUUAAAGCCAAUCGAUUACACCAUGGGUAAGGAAAAGCUACCCCCGCAACUAACAUGAAGCCUAACUUCCGCAACUACAUCUUCAGAGCUGUUAUCUUUCUGGAAACCAAUUGAAGUGACCCUGCUGAAGAUGUAGUCAUGGGUUCCAGAAGUUAGGCUUUAUGUUAAUUACGGGGGUAGCUUUUCCUUACCCAUGGUGUAAUCAAUUGGCUUUAAGCCAUUUAAUUGAUGAAAUAUACCUUCAAAGAUACAUUUUAUAGUCUUCUAUCACCGAACAUGUAGGCAUCUAGUCAUUCAAAUGUAGAAGUGCCCCUGAUCCUUUAGUUGUUCAUGUGAUGAUCUGCAAGAUUACACGAUAAUUUAGAAUAUUUAUGUCACAUUUGUACACAUACGGGCUAUUAAUUUUUCCGCUUAGUUUAUGAGCUUUGAUCUGAUUAAUAUGAGUAAUUUUAGCUUGAAUCAUCUUGCCUACUUUACGAACUAAUGUUUGAAGAGCUAUUCUCACCCUUGCGUCCCAACUGCUUGACCAUAGUUAGAACACCUGAGAAGCCUCGGUUUCUGGAAGGAGAAAAAUUGUCACUUCUUUGAUUAGGGCAAUGCUUUAUGGAAAGUUGGCACAAUCUAGUCGGAGGGCUCAUUGUUUCGUGCCAACUUAUACGGGAAAAUACCUCAGCGGUUUUAUAGAUGGAACCUGAUCAAGGAAUGACUGAAUGUACUGGGUGUUACAAUCAUUGUGUGGUAUGCCAAUGAGUGAUCGGCCAAUUCAAUUUCCUUAAAAGCGUAUAUAACACCUGGGGCAUCUUUAUGUGUCGGCCCUUCUUCCUCUCUCUGGGGCAUAUAACCUGGGACUUUUCACAUCUCUUCUUCAAAUAGACUCUUAAUUGUCUUAGAUUCCAUCUUAUGAUUGUUUGACCUUUUUAUGCUUCAUAUUAGCAAUUUACACAUGCCCAUAUUGUGCAUGGAUGUCAUUCGACGACGAUACAUUUUUUAUGGAAACCAUAACGUCUGCUUGGCUAGAUCCAGUUUACAAGUCUAGAUGUUUGUACAUUCUUCCGUACGUCUUAAAGCUAGUUUGAAUAAUUGAAU
Molecule: long non-coding RNA, 1294 nt
Filed under: Spirodela polyrhiza (greater duckweed)
Lineage: Eukaryota; Viridiplantae; Streptophyta; Magnoliopsida; Alismatales; Araceae
Description: long non-coding RNA (SPOL_LNC001216)
Source: RNAcentral